ACUCCUACGGGAGGCAGCAGUAGGGAAUCUUCCACAAUGGACGAAAGUCUGAUGGAGCAACGCCGCGUGAACGAUGAAGGCCUUCGGUCGUAAAGUUCUGUUGUAAGGGAAGAACAAGUGCCGCAGGCAAUGGCGGCACCUUGACGGUACCUUGCGAGAAAGCCACGGCUAACUACGUGCCAGCAGCCGCGGUAAUACGUAGGUGGCAAGCGUUGUCCGGAAUUAUUGGGCGUAAAGCGCGCGCAGGCGGCCUCUUAAGUCUGAUGUGAAAGCCCCGGCUCAACCGGGGGAGGGCCAUUGGAAACUGGGAGGCUUGAGUAUAGGAGAGAAGAGUGGAAUUCCACGUGUAGCGGUGAAAUGCGUAGAGAUGUGGAGGAACACCAGUGGCGAAGGCGACUCUUUGGCCUAUAACUGACGCUGAGGCGCGAAAGCGUGGGGAGCAAACAGGAUUAGAUACCCUGGU
Molecule: ribosomal RNA, 463 nt
Filed under: uncultured bacterium
Lineage: Bacteria
Description: bacterial SSU rRNA
Rfam family: Bacterial small subunit ribosomal RNA
Source: RNAcentral